UGGGGAAUUUUGCGCAAUGGGCGAAAGCCUGACGCAGCAACGCCGCGUGAGUGAUGAAGGCCUUCGGGUCGUAAAGCUCUGUCAGAAGGGAAGAAAUGGAAGGGUGUUAAUUCCAUCUUUUCUUGACGGUACCUUCAAAGGAAGCACCGGCUAACUCCGUCCCAGCAGCCGCGGUAAUACGGAGGGUGCAAGCGUUGUUUGGAAUUAUUGGGCGUAAAGCGCGUGUAGGCGGUCUCUUAAGUCUGAUGCGAAAGCCCCGGGCUCAACCUGGGAAGUGCAUUGGAAACUCGGAGACUUGAAUACGGGAGAGGGCAGUGGAAUUCCUAGCGUAGGAGUGAAAUCCGUAGAUAUUAGGAGGAACACCGGUGGCGAAGGCGGCUGCCUGGUCCGAUAUUGACGAUGAGACGGGAAAGCGUGGGGAGCAAACAGGAUUAGAUACCGUGGUAGUCCACCCCGUAAUUGAUGAGUCCUAGCUGUUGCGGGUAUUGACCCGUGCAGUGCCGUACCUAGCGCAUUAAGUACUCCGCCUGGGAAGUACGGUCCCAAGACUA
Molecule: ribosomal RNA, 551 nt
Filed under: uncultured bacterium
Lineage: Bacteria
Description: bacterial SSU rRNA
Rfam family: Bacterial small subunit ribosomal RNA
Source: RNAcentral